UGGGUUGUAGCUCAGUGGUUAGAGCACUUGCCUAGCAUGUAUGAGGCACUGGGUUUGAUCCUCAGCACCACAU
RNAcentral lists this transfer RNA (73 nucleotides) under Marmota marmota marmota (Alpine marmot). It matches the Rfam family "tRNA". From Rfam's summary of the family: Transfer RNA (tRNA) molecules are approximately 80 nucleotides in length. RNAcentral also lists the same sequence under 2 other names. The record is from Rfam by way of RNAcentral. Lineage: Eukaryota; Metazoa; Chordata; Mammalia; Rodentia; Sciuridae.